CAUAGCUCAAUGGCAGAGCAUUCGACUGUUAAUCGAAGGGUUAUUGGUUCGAAUCCAAUUG
Molecule: transfer RNA, 61 nt
Filed under: uncultured Dietzia sp.
Lineage: Bacteria; Bacillati; Actinomycetota; Actinomycetes; Mycobacteriales; Dietziaceae
Rfam family: tRNA
About the family: Transfer RNA (tRNA) molecules are approximately 80 nucleotides in length. Their secondary structure includes four short double-helical elements and three loops (D, anti-codon, and T loops).
Source: RNAcentral